UAAUUGAAGAGUUUGAUCAUGGCUCAGAUUGAACGCUGGAGGCAGGCCUAACACAUGCAAGUGGAGCGGUAACAGGAGAAAGCUUGCUUUCUUGCUGACGAGCGGCGGACGGGUGAGUAAUGUAUGGGGAUCAGCCCGAUAGAGGGGGAUAACUACUGGAAACGGUGGCUAAUACCGCAUAAUGUCUACGGACCAAAGCAGGGGCUCUACGGACCUUGCACUAUCGGAUGAACCCAGAUGGGAUUAGCAAGAAGGGGGGGU
This 261-nucleotide ribosomal RNA is filed under the name Proteus mirabilis. Its description in RNAcentral is "partial 16S ribosomal RNA". It matches the Rfam family "Bacterial small subunit ribosomal RNA", at positions 1 to 258 of the family's 1533-position model. The record is from RNAcentral. Lineage: Bacteria; Pseudomonadati; Pseudomonadota; Gammaproteobacteria; Enterobacterales; Morganellaceae.